RNAcentral lists this ribosomal RNA (2889 nucleotides) under Vibrio parahaemolyticus TUMSAT_D06_S3. Its description in RNAcentral is "bacterial LSU rRNA". It matches the Rfam family "Bacterial large subunit ribosomal RNA". The record is from RNAcentral. Lineage: Bacteria; Pseudomonadati; Pseudomonadota; Gammaproteobacteria; Vibrionales; Vibrionaceae.
UUAAGUGACUAAGCGUACACGGUGGAUGCCUUGGCAGUCAGAGGCGAUGAAAGACGUAGUAACUUGCGAUAAGCCCAGAUUAGGUAGUAACAACCAUUUGAGUCUGGGAUUUCUGAAUGGGGAAACCCACGUGCAUAAGCACGUAUCCUUACCUGAAUACAUAGGGUAAGGAGGCGAACCGGGGGAACUGAAACAUCUAAGUACCCCGAGGAAAAGAAAUCAACCGAGAUUCCGAAAGUAGCGGCGAGCGAAAUUGGACUAGCCCUUAAGCUUUACACGCGUUAGACGAACGGUCUGGAAAGUCCGACGAUACAGGGUGAUAGUCCCGUAGUUGACGACGUGUGUUCAGUGAAAUCGAGUAGGGCGGGACACGUGAUAUCCUGUCUGAAUAUGGGGGGACCAUCCUCCAAGGCUAAAUACUACUGACUGACCGAUAGUGAACCAGUACCGUGAGGGAAAGGCGAAAAGAACCCCUGUGAGGGGAGUGAAAUAGAACCUGAAACCGUGUACGUACAAGCAGUAGGAGCAGGCUUUGUCCUGUGACUGCGUACCUUUUGUAUAAUGGGUCAGCGACUUAUAUUCAGUGGCAAGGUUAACCAUCUAGGGGAGCCGUAGGGAAACCGAGUCUUAACUGGGCGUUCAGUCUCUGGAUAUAGACCCGAAACCAGGUGAUCUAGCCAUGGGCAGGUUGAAGGUUGAGUAACAUCAACUGGAGGACCGAACCGACUAAUGUUGAAAAAUUAGCGGAUGACUUGUGGCUAGGGGUGAAAGGCCAAUCAAACCUGGAGAUAGCUGGUUCUCCCCGAAAGCUAUUUAGGUAGCGCCUCGGACGAAUACUACUGGGGGUAGAGCACUGUUAAGGCUAGGGGGUCAUCCCGACUUACCAACCCUUUGCAAACUCCGAAUACCAGUAAGUACUAUCCGGGAGACACACGGCGGGUGCUAACGUCCGUCGUGGAGAGGGAAACAACCCAGACCGCCAGCUAAGGUCCCAAAUUACUACUAAGUGGGAAACGAUGUGGGAAGGCUCAGACAGCCAGGAUGUUGGCUUAGAAGCAGCCAUCAUUUAAAGAAAGCGUAAUAGCUCACUGGUCGAGUCGGCCUGCGCGGAAGAUGUAACGGGGCUAAGUAGUAAACCGAAGCUGCGGCAAUAUACUUUUGUAUAUUGGGUAGGGGAGCGUUCUGUAAGCGGUUGAAGGUGUGUGGUAACGCAUGCUGGACGUAUCAGAAGUGCGAAUGCUGACAUGAGUAACGAUAAAGGGGGUGAAAAACCUCCUCGCCGGAAGACCAAGGGUUCCUGUCCAACGUUAAUCGGGGCAGGGUAAGUCGACCCCUAAGGCGAGGCCGAAAGGCGUAGUCGAUGGGAAACGGGUUAAUAUUCCCGUACUUCUUACAAUUGCGAUGGGGGGACGGAGAAGGCUAGGUGGGCCUGGCGACGGUUGUCCAGGUUCAAGUGCGUAGGCUUAAGAGUUAGGUAAAUCCGGCUCUUUCUAAGGCUGAGACACGACGUCGAGCACCUACGGGUGUGAAGUCAUUGAUGCCAUGCUUCCAGGAAAAGCCUCUAAGCUUCAGAUUGUAAGGAAUCGUACCCCAAACCGACACAGGUGGUCGGGUAGAGAAUACCAAGGCGCUUGAGAGAACUCGGGUGAAGGAACUAGGCAAAAUGGUACCGUAACUUCGGGAGAAGGUACGCUCUUGAUGGUGAAGUCCCUUGCGGAUGGAGCUGACGAGAGUCGCAGAUACCAGGUGGCUGCAACUGUUUAUUAAAAACACAGCACUGUGCAAAAUCGUAAGAUGACGUAUACGGUGUGACGCCUGCCCGGUGCCGGAAGGUUAAUUGAUGGGGUUAGACUUCGGUCGAAGCUCUUGAUCGAAGCCCCGGUAAACGGCGGCCGUAACUAUAACGGUCCUAAGGUAGCGAAAUUCCUUGUCGGGUAAGUUCCGACCUGCACGAAUGGCGUAAUGAUGGCCACGCUGUCUCCACCCGAGACUCAGUGAAAUUGAAAUCGCUGUGAAGAUGCAGUGUACCCGCGGCUAGACGGAAAGACCCCGUGAACCUUUACUACAGCUUGGCACUGAACAUUGACCCUACAUGUGUAGGAUAGGUGGGAGGCUUUGAAGCACGUACGCCAGUAUGUGUGGAGCCGUCCUUGAAAUACCACCCUUGUAGUGUUGAUGUUCUAACGUCGACCCCUAAUCGGGGUUGCGGACAGUGCCUGGUGGGUAGUUUGACUGGGGCGGUCUCCUCCCAAAGAGUAACGGAGGAGCACGAAGGUGGGCUAAUCACGGUUGGACAUCGUGAGGUUAGUGCAAUGGCAUAAGCCCGCUUGACUGCGAGAAUGACAAUUCGAGCAGGUGCGAAAGCAGGUCAUAGUGAUCCGGUGGUUCUGAAUGGAAGGGCCAUCGCUCAACGGAUAAAAGGUACUCCGGGGAUAACAGGCUGAUACCGCCCAAGAGUUCAUAUCGACGGCGGUGUUUGGCACCUCGAUGUCGGCUCAUCACAUCCUGGGGCUGAAGUCGGUCCCAAGGGUAUGGCUGUUCGCCAUUUAAAGUGGUACGCGAGCUGGGUUUAGAACGUCGUGAGACAGUUCGGUCCCUAUCUGCCGUGGGCGUUGGAAGAUUGAAGGGGGCUGCUCCUAGUACGAGAGGACCGGAGUGGACGAACCUCUGGUGUUCGGGUUGUGUCGCCAGACGCAUUGCCCGGUAGCUAAGUUCGGAAUCGAUAACCGCUGAAAGCAUCUAAGCGGGAAGCGAGCCCUGAGAUGAGUCUUCCCUGAUACUUUAAGUAUCCUAAAGGGUUGUCGGAGACUACGACGUUGAUAGGUCAGGUGUGUAAGUGCUGUGAGGCAUUGAGCUAACUGAUACUAAUUGCCCGUGAGGCUUAACCAU